CAAGUUUGGAGUACCUAACGCCAUGGUUAUUGAUCAGAGCACCCACUAUUGCAACAAAUCCAUUUAGGCUUUACAUUAGAAGUAUGGGGUUGUGCAUAAGAUUUCUACACCCUACCACCCCAAACUAACAAGCAAGUUGAAAUUUCAAACAUAGAGAUAAAUAGGAAUUUAGAGAAGAUUGUGCACUCUUCUUUCUAUUAUCAUGUUCUUCUUUUCCA
Molecule: long non-coding RNA, 218 nt
Filed under: Vigna radiata
Lineage: Eukaryota; Viridiplantae; Streptophyta; Magnoliopsida; Fabales; Fabaceae
Description: long non-coding RNA (VRAD_LNC008891)
Source: RNAcentral